RNAcentral lists this RNase P RNA (488 nucleotides) under Pseudomonadota bacterium. RNAcentral describes it as "Proteobacteria bacterium RNase P RNA component class A". It matches the Rfam family "Bacterial RNase P class A". From Rfam's summary of the family: Ribonuclease P (RNase P) is a ubiquitous endoribonuclease, found in archaea, bacteria and eukarya as well as chloroplasts and mitochondria. Its best characterised activity is the generation of mature 5'-ends of tRNAs by cleaving the 5'-leader elements of precursor-tRNAs. Lineage: Bacteria; Pseudomonadati; Pseudomonadota. The record is from RNAcentral.
UCAGUCGGCCGGACGGCCGCUCCCGCAAGCGCCGAAAGGCGGCGGGGGAGGAAAGUCCGGGCUCCAUCGACCGACGGUGCCGGAUAACGUCCGGCGGGGGCGACCCCAGGGACAGUGCCACAGAGAACGAACCGCCCGCCUUCGCCCUCGGGCUUCGGCGCGACAAGCUCCGGCUUGCCGCGUCGUAGCAGCGCAAGCUGCGAAAGGCAGGUAAGGGUGAAAAGGUGCGGUAAGAGCGCACCGCGCCGCCGGCAACGGCGGCGGCAUGGCAAACCCCACCGGGAGCAAAACCGAAUAGGAACGGCAGCCGCGACGGUUCGCUGCGGGCGCAAGCCCGCCCGCGAUAACCCCGCGAGGGGCGGUCGGCCCCGGCCGUUCGGGUAGGUUGCUCGAGGCGGCGCGCAAGCGCCGUCCCAGAGGAAUGGCCGUCACGUAUCGCGCGCAAGCGCGAUGCCCUACAGAACCCGGCUUACAGGCUGGCUGAUGCU